This is a long non-coding RNA of Oncorhynchus keta (chum salmon), 1158 nucleotides long. RefSeq lists it as uncharacterized. The record is from RefSeq and is a predicted model, not a curated record. The transcript has 3 exons. NCBI's taxonomy places the organism in Eukaryota, Metazoa, Chordata, Actinopteri, Salmoniformes, Salmonidae.
AAAACUUUGAAGAAGAAUACAGUAGGAGCAAUUAGUUUAUCUGCAGAGGAUCUGUGGUAGGAGUGUUGAGCUCAACAAGACAUUGCCCAGCUUGGAGGGCAACUUUUGGAGACCCAGUUGUUUUGAAAGCACCAUAAAUCCAGAGAAUGCCAGACUUUGAUGAUAAAAUUUGCCCACGAAGGAUCGCCGCGCCACCUUCUUGUUCAAGUGGGCACAGCACAACAAGCAAUGGAAAAACGCCAUCUGCUGGACGGAAACCGAGUUGGGCCCCAGUCUUCCUCUGACAGCGGAAAUGGUCAUUGUCUGCCUUCAGUAUUCUCACCCCAAUGAAGAAACAUCCUACACUAUAUAUACCAAGGUAUGUGGAGACCCCUUCAAAUUAGUGGAUUUGGCUAUUUCACCCACACCCGUUGCUGACAGGUGUAUAAAAUCGAGCAGACAACCAUGCAAUCUCCAUGCAAUCUCUCUCAGAUAGAAUGCCACCUUUCCAACAAGUAAGCUUCGUGAAAUGGGUUUCCAUGGCCGAGCAGCCGCACACAAUCCUAAGAUCACCAUGUGCAAUGCCAAGCGUCGGCUGGAGUGGUGUAAAGCUCGACGCCAUUGGACUCUGGAGCAGUGGAAACGCUUCACCAUCUAGCAGUCCAACGGAUGAAUCUGGGUUUGGCGGAUGCCAGGAGAACGCUAUCUGCCCCAAUGUUUAGUGCCAACUGUAAAGUUUAGUGAUGGAGGAAUAAUGGUCUGGGGUGGUUUUUCAUGGUUCAGGCUAAGCCCCUUAGUUCCAGUGAAGGGAAAUCUUAACGCUACAGCAUACAAUGGCAUUCUAGACAAUUCUGUGCUUCCAACGUUGUGGCAACAUUUUAGGGAAGGCCCUUUUCUGUUUCGCGUGCAUAAAUCAAGGUCCACACAGAAUUGGUUUGUCGAGAUCAGUGUGGAAGAACUUGACUGGAGGCUGUUAUAGUAGCAAAGGGGGGACCAACUCCAUAUUAAUGCCCAUAAUUUUGGAUUGUGCUGUUCGACGAGCAGGUGUCCACAUACUUUUGGUCAUGUAGUGUACCAGGAACAACGAAAUAGAAAAUGAAAAAGAUAAAUGGGAUAUUGUGACAUAUUAUAACUGAAAUAAUACUGGGAAAUGUAGCCUGUCAAUUACGAUGAUUAUGA